Molecule: ribosomal RNA, 325 nt
Filed under: uncultured eukaryote
Lineage: Eukaryota
Description: partial 18S ribosomal RNA
Rfam family: Eukaryotic small subunit ribosomal RNA
Source: RNAcentral
CCCUUAGAUGUCCUGGGCCGCACGCGCGCUACACUGAUGCAUUCAACGAGUUUUACCUUGGCCGAGAGGCCUGGGCAAUCUUUUAAACCUGCAUCGUGAUAGGGAUAGAUUAUUGCAAUUAUUAAUCUUGAACGAGGAAUUCCUAGUAAACGCAGAUCAUCAAUCUGCAUUGAUUACGUCCCUGCCCUUUGUACACACCGCCCGUUGCACCUACCGAUUGAAUGGUCCGGUGAAGCCUCGGGAUUGUGGCCAGUUCACUUUAUUGGGAGUUGGCUGCGAGAACUUGUCUAAACCUUAUCAUUUAGAGGAAGGUGAAGUCGUAACA